This 1238-nucleotide ribosomal RNA is filed under the name Campylobacter coli. RNAcentral describes it as "bacterial SSU rRNA". It matches the Rfam family "Bacterial small subunit ribosomal RNA", at positions 278 to 1533 of the family's 1533-position model. The record is from RNAcentral. Lineage: Bacteria; Pseudomonadati; Campylobacterota; Epsilonproteobacteria; Campylobacterales; Campylobacteraceae.
GACGCUUAACUGGUCUGAGAGGAUGAUCAGUCACACUGGAACUGAGACACGGUCCAGACUCCUACGGGAGGCAGCAGUAGGGAAUAUUGCGCAAUGGGGGAAACCCUGACGCAGCAACGCCGCGUGGAGGAUGACACUUUUCGGAGCGUAAACUCCUUUUCUUAGGGAAGAAUUCUGACGGUACCUAAGGAAUAAGCACCGGCUAACUCCGUGCCAGCAGCCGCGGUAAUACGGAGGGUGCAAGCGUUACUCGGAAUCACUGGGCGUAAAGGGCGCGUAGGCGGAUUAUCAAGUCUCUUGUGAAAUCUAAUGGCUUAACCAUUAAACUGCUUGGGAAACUGAUAGUCUAGAGUGAGGGAGAGGCAGAUGGAAUUGGUGGUGUAGGGGUAAAAUCCGUAGAUAUCACCAAGAAUACCCAUUGCGAAGGCGAUCUGCUGGAACUCAACUGACGCUAAGGCGCGAAAGCGUGGGGAGCAAACAGGAUUAGAUACCCUGGUAGUCCACGCCCUAAACGAUGUACACUAGUUGUUGGGGUGCUAGUCAUCUCAGUAAUGCAGCUAACGCAUUAAGUGUACCGCCUGGGGAGUACGGUCGCAAGAUUAAAACUCAAAGGAAUAGACGGGGACCCGCACAAGCGGUGGAGCAUGUGGUUUAAUUCGAAGAUACGCGAAGAACCUUACCUGGGCUUGAUAUCCUAAGAACCUUUUAGAGAUAAGAGGGUGCUAGCUUGCUAGAACUUAGAGACAGGUGCUGCACGGCUGUCGUCAGCUCGUGUCGUGAGAUGUUGGGUUAAGUCCCGCAACGAGCGCAACCCACGUAUUUAGUUGCUAACGGUUCGGCCGAGCACUCUAAAUAGACUGCCUUCGUAAGGAGGAGGAAGGUGUGGACGACGUCAAGUCAUCAUGGCCCUUAUGCCCAGGGCGACACACGUGCUACAAUGGCAUAUACAAUGAGACGCAAUACCGCGAGGUGGAGCAAAUCUAUAAAAUAUGUCCCAGUUCGGAUUGUUCUCUGCAACUCGAGAGCAUGAAGCCGGAAUCGCUAGUAAUCGUAGAUCAGCCAUGCUACGGUGAAUACGUUCCCGGGUCUUGUACUCACCGCCCGUCACACCAUGGGAGUUGAUUUCACUCGAAGCCGGAAUACUAAACUAGUUACCGUCCACAGUGGAAUCAGCGACUGGGGUGAAGUCGUAACAAGGUAACCGUAGGAGAACCUGCGGUUGGAUCACCUCCUUUCUA